AGAGUACAUCUGAAAUUAGUUAUCAAUUAAGCAAAGACAGGAAAAAAGGUUCAAGUCAAAACUAUGAAAAUCUCUCAAGAAUCAUAAGACACAAAGUUGCCUACAUUGUCCUCAUGGAAAUAUCACUAAGGGGCACCUUCCUGUUUCUAACUCCCGGUCCGCUUCGGGGGGACCUUCAAAAUGCCAUGCCCGACUGCCUUUAAACACCUUUAAUGGCUCAGUUCAUUUUGCAGUCCAAAACUUAGUUAAGAUGGUCUUGACCGAGCAAAGAAUCUCAAACCUUCCAAAAAUUUAUGAAGAGACUUUCAAAAUAUUUCAAAAGAUACUGGUGAUAGGAUGGGGAUGCUACCAAACAAGAAUGGAACGAAUUCAUUCAGUCAUAUCGGUAUUCAACAAGCCAGAAAUCAGACCUGGCACUGUAUUACCAGUGAAGGUAUCAGAAGCACUGAAGAGUCCCCCAUUAUGUUUUAGAGCUUAGGAGGAAGACGUAGUUACAAUUUUAACUGCAAAUGUUAGGUUUAUAGUCCAAGGAAGCAGAACUAAAUGGUUAUUGCUGGAACAGUAGACUCAGCUGACCAAAUUGUGUCCAAAUGCAUUUUCAGUAUGUUUCCCUAAAGUCAGGAAAGACUUGCAGGUGUGUCCUAAGUGGAAUCAAUUUAGUCCGUCGUACAAGGAGGUAGUCAUUAAGGGGCUAGUUUUGAGCUUUAAAAACACAUUUGAGCAGAGACCUUGUUAUUUCUACUAUUUAUGAAUUAAUUUUACCUUCAGGAGGGUAUGUAUUUUAUCACUUUAGGUAUUUUCACCUCAUUGUGGGGGCUGCCAUG
Phyllostomus discolor (pale spear-nosed bat) is the source of this 824-nucleotide long non-coding RNA. RefSeq lists it as uncharacterized. The transcript has 2 exons. Lineage: Eukaryota; Metazoa; Chordata; Mammalia; Chiroptera; Phyllostomidae. The record is from RefSeq and is a predicted model, not a curated record.